GGGGAGGUGGCUGAGUGGUCAAAAGCGAUGGACUGUAAAUCCAUUUGUAUCAUACAUUCGUAGGUUCAAAUCCUACCCUCCUCA
RNAcentral lists this transfer RNA (84 nucleotides) under Reclinomonas americana. Its description in RNAcentral is "tRNA-Tyr". It matches the Rfam family "tRNA". Rfam says of the family: Transfer RNA (tRNA) molecules are approximately 80 nucleotides in length. Their secondary structure includes four short double-helical elements and three loops (D, anti-codon, and T loops). Further hydrogen bonds mediate the characteristic L-shaped molecular structure. tRNAs have two regions of fundamental functional importance: the anti-codon, which is responsible for specific mRNA codon recognition, and the 3' end, to which the tRNAs corresponding amino acid is attached (by aminoacyl-tRNA synthetases). tRNAs cope with the degeneracy of the genetic code in two manners: having more than one tRNA (with a specific anti-codon) for a particular amino acid; and 'wobble' base-pairing, i.e. permitting non-standard base-pairing at the 3rd anti-codon position. Lineage: Eukaryota; Jakobea; Jakobida; Histionidae. The record is from RNAcentral.